RNAcentral lists this long non-coding RNA (1834 nucleotides) under Triticum aestivum (bread wheat). Its description in RNAcentral is "long non-coding RNA (TAES_LNC026462)". The record is from RNAcentral. Lineage: Eukaryota; Viridiplantae; Streptophyta; Magnoliopsida; Poales; Poaceae.
ACCGCACAAUAGUCCUCUUUCCUCCCCUAGCCGCCGCCAACCCUCUCUUCUCCCAACCCUUCCCUCUUCCUAGAUCAAACCUCACGCCACCGUGAUGAGCCGACGGGAAGCCUCUUUGGAGGAGCCUUCUAUGCAUCAACGUUGAUGGGGUUCGCCGACCAAGCGAGGGCGUGGAUCCCCCUUCUCAUGCUCUCAAUCGUCGGCACGACCACCAUCAACCAGAUCUUCACUACCUCAGGUAUGCUCUCUCUCUCUCUCUCUCUCUCUCUCUAUCCUUUUCUCUCCUGGCCGCCCUUGGAUCCCUCUCCUACUCCUUCGUUUCUCGUUACACUGAUAGGUGACCUCCCUGCCGGUGCUUUCUAUUAUGGACAUGACCAUCAAGCAUAGCCUCCAUGGCACCGCACACACAUGUCCUAGGAGGCACGCCAUCAGCUAAUUACCUUCUUUGUGCUCAAUUUGCAACCCACGGGUAUGCGUAUGGGCCAAAUGUUGUCCCCACCAGGUAUCGUGGGGGGAGGUACGUUCCACCACUCAUGUACUUGAUAUCCACGAGUGCCGUCAGUUAGGCCCGACAUUUGGGCCCUAGCAUUUCUCCCAUAUAAAAACACUACAUCCGUCCAUCCCACGAUGGAACCCUAAAUCAAUCCACAUUUGACUCAUCUGUCCUCUCCUAGCCGCUACCAACCCUUCUCUCUUCUCCCAGCCUCUCCCUCUUCCCCAAAUCGAUCCUCCUACCACCAUUCGCCACCCGUCCAGGAAGAUGGUGCUACAUAGCCUCGACCCUUGUAGAUCUAUUCUCCGCCCGUCCCUAUCACGCUCACCCAUCAUUGGCGCAUCUCGCCUCGUCACUUUGGCUGCCAAAUCAAUUGUGGGGACUGCGAUGGUGCGCCGCUUAGAGGCCAUGCCCUACUGGUCAGCUACUCGCGUGUCGCGACGGCCUCCUCUGUGUCCACCCCUCUGCACAACGACGAUCGACUCUGGCGAGAUCCGACAUCACUUUUGCCUCUCAAAUCCCAAGGUAAUCAUAGGCCAUGCCAUGGCCAAAAUCUCCCUCUCGCCGCCGCGAUUUCGCUCCCAACGUUCUUCCCGUGCCUUGUUCUGGGUUGUUCAUUCCUUCCUGCCGAAAGAUCAAUUCCGGGUUCUUUUUGUUUUGUUUGUGGUGGUCGUUUCUUUCAAUGUGCGUCUGUUUUUUGUUUUGCCUGGAGCAGAGUUUAUCUAAUCUUCAGGUCGUCGGUGCUCCGUCUGGUUCAUGAUCUGGUUUUGUUGCUUGCUUUACUAUCUCAUCUCACUGUUGGAUUCAUUUUACCAAUCUUUCCGGGUUUGGUUGCCGGCCGAAAAUUCUUUCCUUUUUCCCCACACGACGGCUGUUGUGACUGAUUCCAGAAUUUCCUGUCGAUUUUGUUCAGUUUUAGUAAGAUUUCUGUUUGGUCUGUCUUUGCAGCGGCGACAUGAUCAUGGCGGAAGAUUUAUGCUUUCGCUCAAUUGUUUCUCUACGGAUUUCUAUCGAACAGAUCUUUGAAUGCUCGGGGUUCACAAUCCAAUUUUGUUGUUCGUAGAGGUGGAUGCUUUUUGGAACUGAUUUUGGUUUAGAUAGAAUUCUCGUGAUGAGGGGAAGAAUUUCUUUAAUGUUUGUUUCAAUAUGUAUCCCAAGUGUUCGAAGUGGUUCUCGUGCUUGCUAACACCGUCUUUGGAUUGUCUAAUUUUCAUUUUCCGUGCAGGUACCAAAGGAUCAACCCGGAAUCUGUCCGAGUCCCCAAUGGAGGCGGCAGCGGCAUCUUCGCCCACCAGGAAGCCAGCAGAACCAGCACCGUCAUCCACACCAAGCAUGGACGAG